AAUGAGAGUUUUUGAAUAUACAUAUUACCAUUACUAAUGUUUUACCUCGUUGAAAAUAUGGUUUGCAAAUUUCUGAAGUUGUGUUAAAUGUCGUUGCAACAAACAUGGAGUUUGUGAUUCCCUAACAAGAAUUUGAAGAAUUUCCCUAACAAAAAUUUGAAGAAAGGUUGUCAUCAACUGAUUUUAUGAUUAACUAGUUAAAGUUUUUAAGGUGAUUAUAAAAAAAUUACAAACUGGGAAAAAAUUAACGAAAAAAAAUUGAAAAACAAAAAUAUGUCUUAGGAGGCCAUGUUUACUCUUGGAGCAAUUUUUAUAUUUGCUGACAUACCCUGUAUGCUGUUUGACUCGCAACCAUUCUAAGUGCACCUGAAAUGAUUACCGAACAUGCACCAAUUUUCAGCACUAUCUGUAUUUUGGUUGUGCAAAUAAUAAAAAAAAUCUCAUAUGUUGCAAAUGACAACACUGUAUAUUAAGAAGCAUGUUGUUCUAUUGAGUGAAUAGUAUUAUGAGAUGUUAGAAUGUUACAGAUAUUUUUAUAGUAUGUUAAAGAUUGUAAUUUUUGUUAAAGAGUGUACAAGUGAUUUGAAAUAAAUUGUUCAGCUAGAAUGAGUUAUGAUUGAUCGUCGAGUCGUUACAAUUAUUUGUGUUGGUAAUAAUUUGUAUUUGUUUUGCAAGACCUAUGCAUGCACUGGAGCAAUUCGCAAUAUACUCUCAGAGACUGCUCGUUUGCUGAGGAAUGUUUUCACUCGAAGAACCCCUCCUAGGCUUGAGCAGGACGUGGAGUUGUCACAUGGUUUCGCUUUUUCACAAGAAGAAGGAGGUGUAGUGUCCCAGUCAGCCGUUAUACGAGCUUACAACACCAACAUUCCCAAGCCUGACGGAAUGUGAAGAAUUCAAAUGUGUUUAUAAUUUUGAUUCAAUUAGAUAUAUACCCAGAAUUCGUUCUUUAGAUAUACGAAAUGUGGUUAUUGGGAAAGGAAUAGCUGUGCGUUUGAUGGCAUGAGAUAAUAUGUGAUUGGGAAAAUGGUAAUUUAUUCCAAUGAAAUAAGUAAUACAGUGUUAGGAAAAAACUCCAGUAAUAUUCAUUACUACACCAAAGGUUCCAAACAGUGCAUCACAAGUUAUUUAAUUUUGAUUUUGUGAAAGUAAUCUUUUUUAGUGCUAUAGAAAGCUAUUGUAUAUCGAAACACGUGUCGCGAUUUUGUAAACCUUUUAUAUUGAAAAUCAAAAUUAAUCUUACACGUAAGUUUUCACGGGACAUUGUUUUACCAUCUGGCUUAGUUUUAAUACGUCCGCUAGAUGUUAUAUCUGAACGAUGAACUUGCCAAUAAUUGAAAUUCAGAUAUGUUAAUUUCGAAGACGCUGAAGUAAUGAAAUCGUCAUCAACUUUUAAUGACAUCAUCAAUUUCAAUGAUUUUUUUUCAGAAUUAAAUCAACUCCACCACAUUCUUCUUGAACAUUGAUUUGUAUUUUUCAGUAUUAGUUGACUACAGUCUCGAGGUGUAUUUUUUACUGAUUGACUCUUUUGAUGGUUUAUUGUUGUCUUCGAACACCGCAGUAGCUAAAAUGUGGCUAGGAAAAAGUUUUUCUCAAAGUUUUGGGGGUUGUACGAUAUUGGAAAAACUAAUUGCAAAAAAUAGGCUUGGGAUUCUUACAUAUUUUAGAUAUUUGGUGCAUUAUUAAAGUAUACUGCCCUGCUAAUCAAGAAGAUCGUAUCUACUUUUUGUGAAAAAAAUCAUCUUAAACUCAUCUCUACCUUUAUGAAAGAUGUCCCUAGCUACCAUCAUCGCGAAUACAUUUGGAUAAUCGUUCGUAUAUUUGGCAUAAGGCAUAUGUAAAAUGGAAAACUUUGAAGAAAUAUGUUUUGUGAAGAUAUGAAUAGUUUGUUUCUGGGACCAUAUUAUUUUGACGUUUGUAUUAGUAACGCCAUAUUGUCCCAAGAAAUCUUACUUUUUCCCAAACUUGAAUCUAACCUAACCUAACCUAUUUUUUUUUUGUCUAAUUUCAUCAACCACUUGCCUUUUUCUAUGCAGGGUAGAGGUAAGAACUAUCUCAAAUGGGAAUUUUGAUGAAAAAGUGUCCACUAGUAAACGAUAAAUUAUAGUAAAAAAACUGACCAAAAUGGCGCUAAUAUCAAAAGUUGUAUGAUAUGAACUUAGAAAUUAUAGAGAACGUGACCUAUGCUGAGUUCGAGUAUUUAAUAUUGUUAAUGACUCAAGUUGUUGAUGAUAUAGAGCUUGUAGAUAUAGAGCUUAUAUUCACGUAGUCGUAUAUUAUUUGGUAAAUAUAAACUAACAAAAUUAUUGUGAGAUAACAUUAAUGAAUUAUUGUGAAAUUAUAAAACCUUCUGUAAGCGGGGGUUUUUAUUUUCGUUUUAUCUAGCUCUCUUUAUUAUUUAACUUUUAGCGCUUCAUUAAAAAUUCACACUGUCACUACAGUGGCGGCUCCCUAAUUUAGUGACUCUGGACGGACACUUUAUGAUUCACAGAGAUGGUUCUCCUCCUUCAUACCUUUUUCUCAAUUAGUCAAGCAGGCAGCGAGAUCUAACCCUGCUCAAUUGGGCAUAAUUUUGACUUUGAUAUAGAUUGACUUUCUGACAGUUAAAUUAUCACACCACUUGAUCUGGUUUUAGAUCGCUAACUCGUUUUCCAAAAAUCUCAGCGUUAGUAAACUGAUUUGAUAAAAUUCGACGGAAAUGGUGUGUACACAGGAAUUAACGUUGGUUUUGGUAACAUCGGUUGUUAGAAAUUUUCAUAUAAUAUGCUAUGUAAACGUGGUUAGAUCUUUACAUGUUAUCUCAAAAUUCAGAAAACUUCAAUAACUCUAUUCAAUCAUACCAAUAGCUGUCUCCUCUUCCAAUGUAACUAUGUUUCAACACAUUGCUUUAUACACACUAUAUACAGGGUGACCAAUGUAAGAUAGCUGUGUUUUAUAACAGUUGCAUUUGAUUGAAGAAAUACUUUUAUGAGAUAUUUUCUAUUAUGUCACUGCAUCCAUGUUUUUGAAUUCUAACAAGGUAUAUCUUGUUAACACCAUUGAUUGGUGACUAGAAAACAAAUGAAUCAGGGCUAUCGAAUUAAUAUGUUGUUUUUAUAUCUCUUGAUAUGUUAAAUUCAAAGAGUAGAAGAAUACAUUUAUGAAUAGAUAAUAAAAUAUGAAUCCUACCAUAUAAAACUGAAGUAUUUCAGUUCUGAAUAGAUUUAAGUAAUAUUUGAUGCAAAUGGCCAAAAAUGGCCAUCCUGUAUAUUCUAAUUUCAUUUUGAUUUUUGAAUUGUUGAUUAUUUAUUGUUAUACUAUGUUAAAGGGUAAUGUUACUGUAAUCUGUUUUUUGUUAUUUAAUUAUAAUCAUAAAAAACAUUAUUCCGAUUUUCGAUCCGCUAAUCAUAUUUUUCAAUGAGUGAAACUAAUUCCUAAAUAACGUUGUUGAACUAAAAUAAAGUCCAGAAGGUAGUACUGAACCUUUUGGUUUAGCAUAAAUCAAAUAAAAAUGCAUGACACAAGAGUAUUGUAUUCUGGUUAGUGGGAAAAAUGUUUUUUGGAAUUGUUUGUUGACUCAAAUAUAUUAUAAAAAGUUUGCAGUCCAAUUUUGACAGUUGUACUUAUGUGAAUUAUUCUUUAUCAAUUACUAUUUGUAAUUACUAUUUGUUGUGAUAUUUUUAUAUGUUAGAACAAUUUUGAUCACAAUUUUGAAACACUAUCAAAUUGAUAGUGUUUCACUCGCUUUGACUUUUCACUAGAGAAUUGGAAUAAUGAUAUGAAAAUUUUGUAUAUAUUCUUAGUCUAAGAGGAUGAAAAAUUGCCGAUAGGUGUGAAAAAUAUUUUAUCCUUUUUACAAAAUAUUGUCAAGUCUAUAUCUAGUAAAGUCAGUAUAGUGAAAAUAGAUGAGGAUAUAUCUUUGUUGAAUAUUUACAAUUACAAUAUAAUAACUAACUAAAAUAAUA
Leptinotarsa decemlineata (Colorado potato beetle) is the source of this 3941-nucleotide long non-coding RNA. Lineage: Eukaryota; Metazoa; Arthropoda; Insecta; Coleoptera; Chrysomelidae. The record is from RefSeq and is a predicted model, not a curated record.